This 433-nucleotide ribosomal RNA is filed under the name uncultured bacterium. RNAcentral describes it as "partial 16S ribosomal RNA". It matches the Rfam family "Bacterial small subunit ribosomal RNA", at positions 29 to 507 of the family's 1533-position model. The record is from RNAcentral.
AACGAACGCUGGCGGCAUGCCUAACACAUGCCAGUCGAACGAGACCUUCGGGUCUAGUGGCGCACGGGUGCGUAACGCGUGGGAACCUGCCCUUAGGUUCGGAAUAACUCCCCGAAAGGGGUGCUAAUACAGGAUAAUGUCUUCGGACCAAAGAUUUAUCGCCUUUGGAUGGGCCCGCGUUGGAUUAGCUAGUUGGUAGGGUAAAAGCCUACCAAGGCGACGUUCCAUAGCUGGUCUGAGAGGAUGAUCAGCCACACUGGGACUGAGACACGGCCCAGACUCGGACGGGAGGCAGCAGUGGGGAAUAUUGUACAAUGGGCGAAAGCCUGAUCCAGCAAUGCCGCGUGAGUGAGGAAGGCCUUAGGGUUGUAAAGCUCUUUUACCCGGGAUGAUAAUGACAGUACCGGGAGAAUAAGCACCGGCUAACUCCGUG